AUUGGAGCCGGUGGGAUUUACGUGUGCUUCAUCACUCAGGAAUUGGAGUGUGUGGCUGCAGGAAGUGUUUAGUAGAGUUAGUUUGCAGAAGAUACCAAGUGGCUACAGAAAGAAAUGGGCUUAGAAUGAGGUACUGUUCGAGUACUAUUCGAACUCAAAUUACAUUACAGUUAUUGGCUUGCUUCGUAGAGAUCACAUUACAUAAAGAACAAGGGGUUGACGCUGGUAUACGAAGUGCAGAGCUAAUGCAUCAAACAUCGAACCAAGCGUACACGAACGUACGUGAUGCGAUGAGCUUUUUGCCGAUGGCCCGCAAUGGCACGCGAUAUUGAUAAACCGCCGAGUGUGGAGGAUUGACAACUCGUAUUUAAACCACCACAACAGCAUUGCGCGUGUCUUUAAUAUGUUAGAGGUAGGUGGAGCUCUUCCUUUUCAUUUUUUGUUUGCGCUUUAAAUGCUUUAACCUUUGCUUGUUUGUUUUUCGUCAUACAACAAUGCAAAGUUAGUAAAUAGUGAUUUUAUUCUUCCCAUAACGUUGUUAAUGUUUUGACUGCACUAAUUAGUUGUUUCAAGUAGUUUCCAAAAAAUGACUCCAUUAUCUGUCAGUGCGCAUGUGUGCAUGUGUAAAACUGAAAUGUAUAUUAUGUGAUUAAAAUGUAAUUAAGCGAGAUUUAAUGUUGGUUUUGAUCAGAUAAAACAUUUGUAGAUUUUGUGUG
This is a long non-coding RNA of Anopheles gambiae (African malaria mosquito), 716 nucleotides long. RefSeq lists it as uncharacterized. The record is from RefSeq and is a predicted model, not a curated record. The transcript is spliced from 2 exons. NCBI's taxonomy places the organism in Eukaryota, Metazoa, Arthropoda, Insecta, Diptera, Culicidae.